UAAUAAAAUAACUGUACUCUCUGGAGACCCUAAGAUCACAUCCUUUGUUUCUCUGAAACAUUCUUUGGUAACUUUUCAGCUCUGUCACUUUUUAUUGCCCAAGUUCCAUAGUAUUUCUUUCUUCAUCAUUGUCUCUUACCACAGCUCUGUAAUUUGUCAGUAAUCUUGGUGUCUUAGAAAAGAUACAAAGAUUUCUCUAGACCUGUCUUCAGAAAGUGAAGAUAUAUAGGAAAGAGAGACAUUUGAUGAAUAGACACUCAACAACUAUUCCUGGGAAAUAUCUGAGAAACGAUCAACCUCGCGCAGCGACAGCCUUUGGGAAUACAUCUUCCAGGACUGACUCGCGCGGUCAGCAGUUCAGACCCAAGAAAACAGCAGGGAGAUCUUCCAACGUCUACAGCCAUCAGGAAGCGACCGGGUUUUCCAGAGCGCGCAGCUGCUCCCGAAAUCCUGUCUCUUCAGCCUUGAGCUCCUUUUCAGCUAUUUUGAAUAUCCCGUUUCAUUCAGUGCUGCCUAAAACUGGACUUCACAGAGGGGAGGAGGGGGAAGAGGAGGAAAGAGGAAUGUUAUUUGUUUAACUUUGUGGCCAUCUUUGUUGCCUGUAGGUUUUCACAUCGAGCCGGCCUGGCAGUGCCCAGGAAACAGGGCAUUCUUCAUAAUUCUGCUUCAGUGAAAACAUACUGUCCUGCAGUUAGCAGGAAAAAGGGAAAAAGAGCCUGAAGGCGCUGGAAUAAUUAAGCGAAUGCAGUGACAGCUGUGGCAGGUCCUGGGCAGGACUGGCUCCACUGAGCUGAAUUAAUGGCAUCAACAGCCCAGCAUCUCCAUUAACAUUUGAUCAUUAAUUAUUACCCUCUGACAGUAAGAUCUGAAACCUUCUUAUGAGUGGCCUGUUAUUAAUCUACCUUACCUGCCCUGCAAAUCAGACAGGCUCCCCACCUAAACAGAGAAUCUUCAAGUCAUUUUUCCUCCCUUAAAAACAAAAAGCACCACCACCAAACCACCUCAGCAAUUGCUUUUAGGAUUAGUUUAGUAAAUAAUACACACAGAACUACUUUUAAAUUAAUUGGGUGCAUUCUUAAAGCAUCAGCAACAUUCCUAGAAUAUUCUUAUGUUGACUUAAGCAUAAUGGUUACCUAGUAUAUGUUACUAGCUGUUUGCACUUAAUGUUCACAGAGGAAAAAAACAUGAGCGCUGCUCUUGAGCUAUUUGUCAUAACCAAAUGAAGGACUCAAUUUUUUUUAAAACUCUGCACAGCUGAGAACAUCUACUAAAUAUGGUAACCGAUUUAUCAAACUAAAUUCAGAAAUCUGCUAUCAUCUCAAUACCUAUCACAAAAGCUAAACAACAUCCUGCACCUUUAGAUCAAAGAGGCAAAUAAGGAUUAAAAAAAACCUAGGCUUUUUUAAAAAAAGGAAAACAAUAGUGAAGGCCUAAUUAUAUCACUAAAUUUGCAUUUAGCAACCUUUGCACAGCCAUUUGGCUCACCGUCUUGUUAAAGAGGAGUUGCAGCACAUUAACCUUUUUUUUUUUUUUAAACUAUUCCUACAAUCAGCAGUGAGGAGCAAAAAGGAGAACCUAAUUCUCUGCUGGCUGCUGUGAAUCAGAAGAAACUAUUCCCCAGUUAGAGGAGAAUCAGGCUCACUCCAUCUUUGUGCAGAGUCCGUGGACCUUCCUUCCACCACUCCACCUGCCUCAUUCUCCACUCUGCUUUUGCUCGCUGAUGCUGUUGCAAGCAUUGACCAGAAACAAAACCCAAUUAGUUGCCUAUUUGAUCUUUUCUCAGAGGCACAGGACAAUGCAAAAAUCCCAGUGUCAGGUGUCCUGCAGCAUGGUGGUUUUUCUGAUAAGACCCAGAUAGACAUGAGCAACUAAGACCUCUCCAGUUAUUGGGAGGGGGAGGGAGAGAAAGAGGAAGAGCUUACAGGUGGCAGGGAACUGCUGAGUCUGCUUCUCUCCUGGGCCCUAUCUGCUCAGCCCUGAAUGAUGAGACAGGGCCAUCUGGACCCAGGACUCAGUUAUGCCCCGGCCAGAGAGGAGCACAGUCAAGCACAGUCCCCAGAGCACAGCAGAAGAGUCAACCACCUAACAGAGGGACUAAAUCACCACGCAUGAACGACACUAAUGGUCUCUGUUGCAAUGAUUUCUUUUAGAAGACAGGAUUUAGGACAAAAACCAAAAGUAGUCUUGAAAUUUCUCUGCAGUGCCCCAAGAAAAGGGAGGAGAUUAAGAGUUUUCUACAUAUUAAGAUACCAUCUCCUCUUCAGAGACAUAGUUGCUUGUAUUGUUUCAGAGCUAACAUAAUAGGAUAUAUAUUUUCAAAGAGGGCUGUGUUUCAGACCAGAUGGUUUCUGUCUUCUAGUAGAGAAACAACAACUACACAGUUGCAGCAGUGUUCAGCACUGAGUCAAUGGCACCCACAUUUUCAGGGCAGACGAGAGUGUGAUUUGUGGGAAUCUUAGUAUAAUUUAAAAGGGCUUUUCAAUAAUUUAGUAUCACAGUUUGCUGUGAAGCUGGCUAUCAUGUACCAUCUCAAGUAAGCCUAUUCUGGUUUUGCAUACAAAUGUAUCUGUUAAUACAACACUGGCAGGAUAUGCCCAGAUUAGGCAGAUAAUGGUCACUGUGGCUAUCCCACAGUUCUGAAUUUUCAGGAACCGAAAAGCCCGUUCGCCAACAUUUUACAAUUCAACAGUACCUUUCAAACAAAUAGCUCAGAGUUAGGAUAUGCUUCAGAAAGUGUUCCUUUCUGUAGGCCGGGAAACGCAUAUGUGAAGAUUAAGGCCAAGGGUUUUCUUUAAUAUAGAUGCCUGAUCCUAGAUAUCUACAAUCUAAUUUUCAGAAACGAUGAAUUCUGCUUUCUGCCAUCCACUUCAACUAGAAACAUAGCACGUACAGCACUUCUGUUGAAGCUGAAGCUAUUUCCUUUGUGCCUCACUCUGCAGGUGCUCAAAGCUGCAGACACCUUUGAGAGCACUGACCUCAAAGACUUGCCGUAAGACAAAAACACGACAAACAGUAGCAACAGAACCACCAUUUCUCCAUCUCACAGAAAGCCUCUUCUAACCAGCAGACACCAGCCCACCAAUAUCCCUACACACGUGGCGUGAACAAAGGAAUUGAGGUUAGAUUAUAGCAAAAUAUGGAUAAAAACAUCAUUGCAUAAACAUGAAUUAUCUUGUCACACAAGUUUCUAUGGAUUCCUGCAACUAUAUAGGGAGUUUUACCACUUUCAAACCUUACAGGUAUUUGAGGAUUUAAAACAAAUAAAUAAAUAAGAGAGGCCA
Long non-coding RNA from Struthio camelus australis, 3281 nucleotides. NCBI's taxonomy places the organism in Eukaryota, Metazoa, Chordata, Aves, Struthioniformes, Struthionidae. The record is from Ensembl.